GUGGCGCAGUUUGUUGUCGACCAUUGGAAGAUGGCUGCUGCGGGUUCGUACUGCCAGUGAUGAGUGCACUUUCUGCUGGUGCGCGCAAGGAUCGGUUGAUACGUCGGCUGAUGCAUGUAGUUGUUGCGCCUGCCUUCGGGUUUGGCAGCGAGCUACUGCGAUAGUCUGAAUGUGUCGACCGUGAUUCGCUCUGCCCGCUCUGUUAACUGCCAGGGGUGGUCUGUGGUAGGCAUCGGCUCUUCUACUGUAACAGGUAGAGUGUCGGUGUUCUGCUGCUUUCUGUUCUUGGUUUUGUUGACGGCAGAUAGGAUCCUUUGCGUCUGUGUCCUUCACCCACCUAUAUCGUCUUGAAACACGAGCCGAGAAGUCUAACAGAUGCGCAAGUCAAUGGGUUCAAUGAAUCCCAAAGGCGAAAUGAAAGUAAAGUCGUGGCCUUGCGCCCGGCGAGCUGAGAUCCAUGCCUCUGGGUAUGGCGCAUCAGCGUCCCGUCUCGUGAACCACUUGUGGAUUCUGAGUCGGAGAUAGAGCGUAUCUGUUGGGACCCGAAAGAUGGUGAACUAUGCCUGUGUAGGAUGAAGCCAGAAGAAAUUCUGGUGGAAGUCCGUAGCGUUUUUGACGUGCAAAUCAAUCGUCU
Molecule: ribosomal RNA, 634 nt
Filed under: Bathylaimus sp. NAR11
Lineage: Eukaryota; Metazoa; Nematoda; Enoplea; Enoplida; Tripyloididae
Description: eukaryotic LSU rRNA
Rfam family: Eukaryotic large subunit ribosomal RNA
Source: RNAcentral